AACGGCGAGUGAAGCGGCAAAAGCUCAAAUUUGAAAUCGGCCACCAGGUCGAGUUGUAAUUUGUAGAUUGUAUCUUGAGAGCGGAUUAAAGUCUGUUGGAACACAGCGCCUUAGAGGGUGACAGCCCCGUAAAAUCUAUUCUCAUUGUAAGAUACUUUCGAAGAGUCGAGUUGUUUGGGAAUGCAGCUCUAAGUGGGAGGUAAAUUCCUUCUAAAGCUAAAUAUUGACGAGAGACCGAUAGCGAACAAGUACUGUGAAGGAAAGAUGAAAAGCACUUUGAAAAGAGAGUGAAAAAGUACGUGAAAUUGUUAAAAGGGAAGGGUAUUGAAUCAGACUUGGUGCUGUUGUUCAACUGUGUUUUGGCACAGUGUACUCAGCAGUACUAGGCCAAGGUGGGGUGUUUGGGAGUGAAAAAGAAGUUGGAACGUAACUCUUCGGAGUGUUAUAGCCUACUUUCAUAGCUCCUCAGGCGCCUCAGGACUGCGCUUCGGCAAGGACCUUGGCAUAAUGAUUCUAUACCGCCCGUCUUGAAACACGGACCAAGGAGUCUAACGUCUAUGCGAGUGUUUGGGUGUAAAACCCGUACGCGUAAUGAAAGUGAACGUAGAUAGGAGCAGUAAUGCGCACUAUCGACCGAUCCUGAUGUUUUCAGAUGGAUUUGAGUAAGAGCAUAGCUGUUGGGACCCGAAAGAUGGUGAACUAUGCCUGAAUAGGGUGAAGCCAGAGGAAACUCUGGUGGAGGCUCGUAGCGGUUCUGACGUGCAAAUCGAUCGUCGAAUUUGGGUAUAGGGGCGAAAGACUAAUCGA
RNAcentral lists this ribosomal RNA (807 nucleotides) under Geotrichum candidum. RNAcentral describes it as "partial large subunit ribosomal RNA". It matches the Rfam family "Eukaryotic large subunit ribosomal RNA", at positions 85 to 938 of the family's 3401-position model. Lineage: Eukaryota; Fungi; Ascomycota; Dipodascomycetes; Dipodascales; Dipodascaceae. The record is from RNAcentral.